This 1090-nucleotide long non-coding RNA is filed under the name Sus scrofa (pig). Its description in RNAcentral is "lncRNA (ENSSSCG00005002185.1)". The record is from RNAcentral. Lineage: Eukaryota; Metazoa; Chordata; Mammalia; Artiodactyla; Suidae.
AUGACAACAUUUUUUUCAAAUAUAUUUUUUAAAAGAUUGGCUUCUGCUGCCCUGCCUCAAUUUGGGACACCUUUGAAGGGCUACCCCAACUCCUGUGCUCCCCAGGGGGGCCGAGGUCUCCGUUGUAACCACAUCAAGGACCAGCUUCUCCCUUUGCCCGCCUCUUGCCACGGUCCUCCUGGAACGUCUCUAGAGAAGGUGCCCCCGGAACCUUCUGUAGGUUGGAUCGUGAAUGGUACCCCUAGAAUUGUUCGUGGUACAGCCUGUGAAACCCCAUCCAGCCGCACUGGGAAGAAGGCUUAAAGUAAGUCACUUGCAAAUCUAAGUAAACUUUGGGAAGCAUUCUCCAAAUUGUGUUCUAUGGAGUACUAAUUCUUCAGAAUUUUAAUAGAUAAUGAAAAGUUCAUUGAAUUAAGGAGUUAAAGAGACGCCAAGUUCAUGAGGACCUCUGCAGGACUUCUCAGAGCCUUUAGUAUACUAAUCUGUGCAGUAAAUAUCCAAGAGGGGAGUGUAGAAAGAGAUACUAUCCAAAUAUAUUUGAUAAUAGAGUUACGUGCAAAAUUACAUUUUGAGAAAAGCUAUCUCAGUGCAAAAUGAGAAGCAAGCCAUCUUUCUUCUUUCAAGACUUGGUCACAUUCAUUUGGCAAAUCAUUACUGAGCACCUACUCUGUGCCAGAUACUGUACAAGGGGCUGGAGAUAGACAGAUAAGAAAAAUAUAGGCAAGUUCUAUGCUUCUGAUGCUUAUGCUAUAAUGAAGGAAAGACAUCAAACCGGUAAUCACACAAUCAAAUAUAGUUUCCCCUUGAACAACAUGGAUUUGAACUGCAUGAUUCUGCUUACAAGUGGUUUUUUUUUUUUUUUUUUUCAGUGAAUAUAGUACUUGGCUUUUCAUUUUACAGAUCUUAACUAAAUGUGGGGAAAAAUUUGUGUUUGAUUAGCAAUCACAAUAUGCGGAAUCAGGAGAACAAGGGUUUGAAUCCUGAUUCUUCCCAAAUUCUUUCAACUUCCUGCCCUUAGUGAGUCACAGUUCAAAGUAAUGCUUCUGAUGUCUUGCAUGUUAACAAAUUAAAUAUGGACACUGGAAUCCUG